This 578-nucleotide long non-coding RNA is filed under the name Citrus x clementina. Its description in RNAcentral is "Citrus clementina (C. clementina) long non-coding RNA (CCLE_LNC006618)". Lineage: Eukaryota; Viridiplantae; Streptophyta; Magnoliopsida; Sapindales; Rutaceae. The record is from RNAcentral.
UUGUAUAACAGUUACUUUAGGUGGCCCGGUUGUUUGCACAAAUAAACAAAUAAUAAAAAGCGGCUGUAUGAGAUACAGCGGCUGUAUUAUAAGCGUACCCAUAAAAAAUACACUUGUCUUUUUCAACUGAAAAGAAUAACGCCAUUAUCAAAGCUUCAAGGUUCCUUGGAUCUUGAGGCUAGCAUCAUAUUGUCCAUAAUAUAACCUGAGCAUCAGACCACAACUGGCUCUACCUUUGAGCUCAACUUGUUCCAUUUUACACGUUUGAAAUGGCUUAAGAGCUUGCGGGUUUCAUCUGCAUUUUUGUCCAGUUUCCACUGUCGUUUAACAUCCUAACUCGCUUAGCCAUCCUCCUUCCCCUUGCAAGAGUAUACCUUAAGCUUAGUGAGGUAGCUUCACUGCCUUUUAAACAAAUUUAUUUGUCUUAAUCGAAUCCACCAAAACUCAGUUCAAACAUGAGGGAUCUUGUAUUAGAAAUUUAAUUUGUAGUUUGGUCUUUGUUUAUUUUGGUUUGGAUAUGUAAUUGAUUUCUUCUCACAUUAAAUUAUCAUAUAAUUAUGAAAUCCCAUAUAUAUUUU